Molecule: ribosomal RNA, 245 nt
Filed under: uncultured bacterium
Lineage: Bacteria
Description: partial 16S ribosomal RNA
Rfam family: Bacterial small subunit ribosomal RNA
Source: RNAcentral
UACGUAGGGGGCAAGCGUUGUUCGGAAUUACUGGGCGUAAAGCGCGUGUAGGCGGUCCGAUAAGUCGGAAGUGAAAGCCCUCGGCUCAACCGGGGAACUGCUUUCGAUACUGUCGGACUUGAGUACGGGAGGGGAGAGCAGAAUUCCCGGUGUAGCGGUGAAAUGCGUAGAUAUCGGGAGGAAUACCGGUGGCGAAGGCGGCUCUCUGGACCGUGACUGACGCUGAGACGCGAAAGCGUGGGUAG